Molecule: ribosomal RNA, 745 nt
Filed under: Mycoblastus sanguinarius
Lineage: Eukaryota; Fungi; Ascomycota; Lecanoromycetes; Lecanorales; Mycoblastaceae
Description: partial 18S small subunit ribosomal RNA
Rfam family: Eukaryotic small subunit ribosomal RNA
Source: RNAcentral
UCGUUUAUUUGAUAGUACCUUACUACAUGGAUACCUGUGGUAAUUCUAGAGCUAAUACAUGCUAAAAACCUCGACUUCGGAAGGGGUGUAUUUAUUAGAUAAAAAACCAAUGCCCUUCGGGGCUCCUUGGUGAUUCAUAAUAACUCAACGAAUCGCAUGGCCUUGCGCCGGCGAUGGUUCAUUCAAAUUUCUGCCCUAUCAACUUUCGAUGGUAGGAUAGUGGUAAGCAUCNUUCUCUCCACGCUUCGCCUGGAGCCAAGCCAUAUGCUAACGGUUGGGGUUCUCUGUAGGCCUACCAUGGUUUCUACGGGUGAAACAUGUCCAUAUCCGUUGCCCGNAGGCACGAUCGUCGAGGGGGCCUUUGGGCCCCGCGCGGCGACACCGCUGGCUCANAAGACGCCUACGGGUCGAUUCUGGGGCGAGCUCCGACCUGGAGCCGCUCGAACGCNUGCAAAGCGGUGGGCUUCCGUGGGGGGGCUUUCGGUACAUGCUACCGCCCGGCGGAUCCGCCUGGGUGGGAGAAAUGAACGGGGAAUUAGGUUUGUUCUCCUUGUUCGUUUCCCACCGAGUGCACGCUAACGCUUUGUGUUUUUAUAGGGUUCUAUUCCGGAGAGGGAGCCUGAGAAACGUGAGUUCUCGUGUGUGUGAUUGCCCUUCCGACUCUUGUACUAACGAUCCAUCCUAGGGCUACCACAUCCAAGGAAGGCAGCAGGCGCGCAAAUUACCCAAUCCCGACGCGGGGAGG